Molecule: long non-coding RNA, 1248 nt
Filed under: Mus pahari (shrew mouse)
Lineage: Eukaryota; Metazoa; Chordata; Mammalia; Rodentia; Muridae
Description: lncRNA (MGP_PahariEiJ_G0002316.1)
Source: RNAcentral
UCAUUCCACAAUGCAAACAGCAGCCAGAGCUUCUCAGAGAGGAGACUAGCAGUUACCUUUUAAGUCUUCCAGCUCAUUUUCACAAUGAUUUGUGAUUGUUCAAGUCCCUCCACUUGUGAGAAGGGGAACAGAGAGACUGGAACCCAGAGGAUCUGAUCCCAAAGCUAUCCUUUAUCUCACUCUCUUGGAUGGUCUCUGCCUUCAGGUUGUUCAGGGGCACCAAUAAGGGUGGAAGGGGCAAUCUACAGUGCCACAGUCUGUUGAUACUGUGCUGUAGCAAUAUAUCCUACAUAUUAAGUUUCUGGAAUACUUCAAGAUCCAAACCAACCAGAACACAAAGUCGUUGUCUUACUCCAUUUGUGCCACUACAACAGAACAACUUACACUGGACCAUUUCUAAAGAGGAGAGAUUGAGGGGUCAGUUCUGGAGACUGGGGAGUCCACAGUGGGGGCAAUGGCAUCUUGGAUCUCUUGGGGGACCUGGGCUGCUUCCUUCCAGGAAAGAAGACAGAAAGGCAUUCAAAGGGAACAGACCUUGCAGCCUGCCAUGACAGAAGAGCUGAAGGGAGCGAACCCACUCCCACAAGCCCUUUCGAUAUCAGCAUCAGAAAGAAGCAUCCCCACUUCAGCACUGUCCCCCCUGACUGUCACACUCAGAUUUCCUUCCAACAAAUAAAAUGGGUGAGGAGACACUUUUGGUAUGAUUAAAAAAAAAAAAAAAAAGAUACUUUACGAUUUCAUCUUACAGAACAGAGGAAAUGAAUGAGCUAGCUAUCAAGGCUGUCAGAAGACAGUGGCCAUAAGACGUGUAACAUUAAUGUCAAGGGUCCCUCAUCAAUUACACCUCAAAACUUAGGGACACAUGAAAGGGACUGAAGAAGAAAGCUGAGGGCAUCCGUGGCUACCUAAACAAACCCAUUGGCUGGUAUUGUUCUGCUACUGCAGGGGAGCUCCACCCUUGGAACUGUAGAAUCUGCAUUAAUUCUGGCUUCUAGAUUUACUUUGCAGCUUUGGAGGACUGAAUUUGCAAGGUCCCACAAGACAUGAGGAGCACACAUCUAAAUGGAGAGUCUCAUUCAGUACAUUUUUUAAGCCAAAUGUCCAAUGACUAUUUUUCACUCAUCACAUAAAAAAUAUGCUUACUCCUACCCACACAUAUCACACGUGUAAUCUAUAGACAUACUUAUGCUGUCUGCACAACAAAGCAAAAUGACUUCUACUUUAAGGAAGGAGAUUAUAUUAAUUGCC